Molecule: ribosomal RNA, 498 nt
Filed under: uncultured bacterium
Lineage: Bacteria
Description: bacterial SSU rRNA
Rfam family: Bacterial small subunit ribosomal RNA
Source: RNAcentral
ACUCAAAUGAAUUGACGGGGGCCCGCACAAGCGGUGGAGUAUGUGGUUCAAUUCGAUGCUACGCGAAAAACCUUACCCAGGCUUGACAUCCCGUGCUACCCUGGGAAACCAGGGGUUCCCUUCGGGGACGCGGUGACAGGUGCUGCAUGGCUGUCGUCAGCUCGUGUUGUGAGAUGUUGGGUUAAGUCCCGCAACGAGCGCAACCCUCGCCACUAGUUACCAUCAUUCAGUUGGGCACUCUAGUGGGACCGCUGGGCUAUAAGCCAGAGGAAGGUGGGGAUGACGUCAAGUCCUCAUGGCCUUUAUGUCUGGGGCUACACACGUACUACAAUGGGAGGUACAAAUCGCAGCAAGCUCGCGAGAGCAAGCAAAUCGCAAAAAGCCUCCCUCAGUUCGGAUUGGAGUCUGCAACUCGACUCCAUGAAGUUGGAAUCGCUAGUAAUCGCGGAUCAGCAUGCCGCGGUGAAUACGUUCCCGGGCCUUGUACACACCGCCCGU